This 94-nucleotide ribosomal RNA is filed under the name uncultured bacterium. Its description in RNAcentral is "partial 16S ribosomal RNA". The record is from RNAcentral.
CCGCCCGUCACGCCAUGGGAGCUGUGAGCGCCCGAAGUCCGUGUCGCAACCCGCAAGGGGGCAAGCGGCCGAAGGCGAGCGCAGUGACUGGGCG